AUAUGCCUACACACCUACUUUUUUGCGAUUUUUUUUUUAAGUACAUCCUACGUUAUGUAUCUAGUCGUUACACGCGAGAAAUACACACACAAGUACACGCACACGUACUUACUACGUGAUCCUGUAAAACGUAGAGUAUUCGGUAAACGUAAAAUCGUAACAGAUCUCGAUGUCAAUCGAAAAAUCGAAACGUUAAAACGUCGAACGAUAACCCUCGAACGAGUCCGUCCGAUUGUCCAUCUCGUCUGAUAGAUUUGCUCGUUUUCCCGUUUUUCAAUCGCGAACAACGCUGCUUUCGUGUUCGAGAUCGUUCGUGAUCGAAGUUGCGUUAAACUUACGCGGAACGUUAUCAACAUCGGAGAAACAGUGCAUGGCAAAACGCGAAGGUACUUGGUUUCGGUAACUUAAAAACGCGUUGAAACUUAGUAGGUUUUACCUAAUUACGUAGGUUUACCUUUUUAGUAUAAUAUUAGAAAUUCAUAGAUGAAACUAGUUUGCCACGAUAUAUCGCGAAACUGUUACAGCGAAACAGAUUUCUCAGAAAUCAUUCGAUAGAGUAUCCGUGGAAUUGACAAGCGUACAAGUUCCUCGCUAUUUUCUACAAAUACGUCCAUGAAUUAUUCAUCGUAAAAAGCUGUGGCUAAAGUACGAUGUGUGCACCGCUGUAUUUGUAAAGAGAACGAAACCGAUGUAGCUACGAAUAAUAAGAAAUUUCGAGCGAAACAUUCACAAACAAAAUGAUUUUACGUCUAAAACGGAAUUACGACUACGAUAAUACUCGCGUUUCUCUUAAAUAACCGAGGGAGACGUUCGUCGGUGUUAAACGACUGCGAUAAAAUUUUCAAAACUCGACGUUUCGCUAGAAAUAAAAUCCGUUGGCACGUGUUUGCCAACAUCUAGCGAAACUCGAUGCGCUCGAGAUUAUUAUUCCACGGAUCGGACAUUUAAAAUCGGUUUAUUAAUAAACGACGCGAAACAAGCAGAGACAGACUUUUGGCAACGUUGUCGUUCGUACCUUGUAAAUCGUUAGAUCCUAAUCGUUCCGAGUACGAAAGAGUAAUUUUUAUCGCGACGACGAAUUCGUCGCAUCACGUCGAGUUUCGUUCGAGAAGAACAAGAACUAUUGCAUAAAAAGUCCGAGUAAUCGAUCGAUAAAUUCGGCGUCUAAAUGUCAUCUCGCGAAACACGCUGCGCCAUGCACUUUUUCCCUCGAUCGCGUAAGACGAUAGAACGAGUGUCCACGAUAAUGGAAUUAAUCAAGAACGAUAGAACGAAUCAGAUAGACGAAACGAUACGAAACGAGAAACGUCGAGUCGGGCACCUGCGUGAUCCUCGACUCGAGAGUAACGAUUUAAAAGUAUACGGAUGAAAAGAAAAAAAAAAAAAAGGGAAAAGAAACAAAGAGAAAUCCGCGACGUUUUCGAGAGAUUUUGAUCGAGUUUCCGCGAUUCUUUCGAUCGAUUUCCUCGAUAUUCUCUCGGCACGUGCAUAAGGGCGGAAAGUUGGGCGACAGAAAGGAAAUCGAAGGAACCGUUUGUCCGUAGAAACGUGGAUAGAAACGCUGGUAGAGACGCGCGUGCAAAUUCAUUACGUCAAACGGUUCUUCGAUGACGGAGUAGUUCUUUUACUACUCGAUGGGAAAUCCAUCAUCGACCGACUGACAAGCUCGCCGAUAGAACGUUUCUUUCACUCGGUGGAAAGCUCGAUCGAUCGAAAUUGGCAUUCCACAGAGUAGAAAUUAAAUUGGAUAAUUUCACCGAGGAGCCAGAGAGUAACGUCGCGAUCUUGUCUCGAUACAAUCUUAAUAGGAUCUAACGCUGUUACGAUUAAUAAUUUUGAGAGAAUAAACGUCCAAGAUCGAUAAUCUCUUUGUCGUUCUAAGAAAUUCUCCCUUUCCGGUGAAAUUUUAUCGAAUAUUAUCGUUAGCUCGAUUAAAAGUCGAUCAAAACGAAUCCGUACUUGUAUAAAGCUUGUAAAAAUAAGAUCAAGAGUACUUAGAAAUCGUUUUCGACGUUAUUCGCUGGCACCUUUCGAACCGGCAACGAACCGUAAGUGCACAGCGCGAAGGAUAAACGUAAAACCGAUCGAUAUUACUCGAGAUCGCGCGCUGCGAGAGCCGUUAAAACCGCGAGAUCUAGCGUUAAGCGUAGCGUUAAGUACGCUCGUUGCUACCUUCGUUUCCUCUACUCUAGAAUUAAUGCGCGUUACGAGUGUCCAGCUUUUGCACGAUCGAAACGCGUACGUCUCGCCCACGAAAUCACGUCUUUAUCGCGUUAUCAUCGAGUUCAGUGCAACGUUUAACUCGUAAGCGCGCGUUCAAUGUCGCAGUCAGACGCUUUCCUCUUUUCGAAAUCGUCGUUUAGAGUCGAGCUAUUGAAAGAAUAGUCGUACGCGCGAUCGGCAAUAAAUAAUCGUAAACGUAUUCACCGGUAUCCUUGAGAAUGAUAAAUCGACGACCGCGUAAGACGGCGUAAUUAAUUAUUUCGCGAUUAAAGCGAAUAUCAACGAACGAAUAUUUCGUCACGAAUAUCUUACGUAAACGAGAAAAACUCGAUGAGUUAUAAAUAUCUUUCUCGCUUAAAAUAAAAAAA
Bombus impatiens (common eastern bumble bee) is the source of this 2591-nucleotide long non-coding RNA. RefSeq lists it as uncharacterized. Lineage: Eukaryota; Metazoa; Arthropoda; Insecta; Hymenoptera; Apidae. The record is from RefSeq and is a predicted model, not a curated record. The transcript is spliced from 2 exons.